GAUGAACGCUGACAGAAUGCUUAACACAUGCAAGUCUUUGGUGAAGCUGUGCUUGCACAGCCUAGCCAAGGCGGACGGGUGAGUAACGCGUAAGGAACUUGCCCUGCAGUCAGGGAUAACAGACGGAAACGACUGAUAAGACCUGGUAAAGUCAGGCGGACUCAUGUCCAGCCUGAUGAAAAGAGAUGCUGCAGGAGAGCCUUGCGUCCUAUUAGCUUGUUGGUGGGGUAACGGCCCACCAAGGCAAUGAUAGGUAGCCGGCCUGAGAGGGUGGACGGCCACAAGGGGACUGAGAUACGGCCCUGACUCCUACGGGAGGCGGCAGUGGGGAAUAUUGGACAAUGGGGGCAACCCUGAUCCAGCAAUUCUGUGUGCACGAUGAAGGUCUUCGGAGUGUAAAGUGCUUUCAGCAGGGAAGAAAAAAAUGACGGUACCUGCAGAAGAAGCGACGGCUAAAUACGUG
This 463-nucleotide ribosomal RNA is filed under the name uncultured bacterium. RNAcentral describes it as "partial 16S ribosomal RNA". It matches the Rfam family "Bacterial small subunit ribosomal RNA", at positions 28 to 507 of the family's 1533-position model. The record is from RNAcentral.